UACGUAGGGUGCAAGCGUUAAUCGGAAUUACUGGGCGUAAAGCGUGCGCAGGGGGUUGUGCAAGACCGAUGUGAAAGCCCCGGGCUUAACCUGGGAAUGGCAUUGGUGACUGCACGGCUAGAGUGUGUCAGAGGGGGGUAGAAUUCCACGUGUAGCAGUGAAAUGCGUAGAGAUGUGGAGGAAUACCGAUGGCGAAGGCAGCCCCCUGGGAUAACACUGACGCUCAUGCACGAAAGCGUGGGGAGCAAACAGG
RNAcentral lists this ribosomal RNA (253 nucleotides) under uncultured bacterium. Its description in RNAcentral is "partial 16S ribosomal RNA". It matches the Rfam family "Bacterial small subunit ribosomal RNA", at positions 524 to 776 of the family's 1533-position model. The record is from RNAcentral.